This 468-nucleotide ribosomal RNA is filed under the name uncultured bacterium. Its description in RNAcentral is "partial 16S ribosomal RNA". It matches the Rfam family "Bacterial small subunit ribosomal RNA", at positions 28 to 507 of the family's 1533-position model. The record is from RNAcentral.
GACGAACGCUGGCGGCGUGCUUAACACAUGCGAGUCGAACGGAAAGGCCCGGCUUUUGUGGGGUGCUCGAGUGGCGAACGGGUGAGUAACACGUGAGUAACCUGCCCUUGUCUGUGGGAUAACUUCAGGAAACUGGGGCUAAUACCGGAUAGGAGCUCCUGCUGCAUGUUGGGGGUUGGAAAGUUUCGGCGGUUGGGGAUGGACUCGCGGCUUAUCAGCUUGUUGGUGGGGUAGUUGCUUACCAAGGCUUAGACGGGUAGCCGGCCUGAGAGGGUGAACGGCCACCAUGGGACUAAGGUACGCACCAGACGCGUACGGGCGGAAGCAGUGGGGAGUAUUGCACAAUGGGCGGAAGCCUGAGGCGGCAACGCCGCGUGCGGGAUGACGGCCUUCGGGUUGUAAACCGCUUUCGCCUGUGACGAAGAGUGAGUGACGGUAAUGGGUAAAGAAGCACCGGCUAACUACGUG